AAUUGAACACUGCUCUACUCACUUCCCUUAGGAAGCAUCCUACCUUCCUUCUACCUCCAGAUCUACAGAUGAAGGAGUGUUUACUGCUGACUGUGCCUUUAUCUAGUCCUGGGGUGGUGGCAGGAUGAACGCAGAGAAAAACAGACAGUGGAUUCAGUCUUGAUCAAAUCAUAUGUUUACAAUGCACUCAUAGCAUGGUUCAUGUCUUUGGUGUGUCUGUUAGUUUGCACAUAAAUACGGUAAUCUUUGGCAGUGGAAAAUAUUUGACAUUUUAUACUACAUUUCAUCUUUUUGUUAACUGCUCUGUGAUAGACUGAUCCCAAAACCUGUGGGAGAAAAGGCAACAAGCUUGAUGCCCCUUUCUGGGUGGCUGGGCUGCAGCAGUUUUAUAAGGAAGAUGGCUUGGCCUUGUACAUCUGUGCCAUGCCUCUUGAGGAUGGUUAAACUGGCUGUAGAAAUUCCAGGAUGAGGAAGGUGGAUAGCGAUGAGAGCAUGUUUUACAGACGAGUUUGCAAGUUCUUUGCACAGACGCCAUUGAGCCAUUGUGGUAUCCGCUUCCUCUAUCCACCCCAAGAGCUGCUGACAAACUUUGCAGUCAGCAAGUCAGUUAUGCAUGAAGGGGAGCAUUCUCAUCAGCCAGUGCUUAUCAUGGCUUUCCGGGGUCCUCACGCUAACUCAGUGUGUCAGGAGAGCACAGGGCCAUCAGACCCCCAGCUGGCAAGGCGGACAGAUCCAACAUCCAUCAACGCCCUGUACCGUCACAGUCAAGACCAACCCCUGCUCUACUCACCCCAUCUUGCCAGUCUUGUGCAUCUGGGCCUCUGCUUGUGAUUUGGUUGUAGAAUAGCAAAAAACAGCCUGUCAACAUUAGUAUUCAAAUGUAUUGUAAUACUUCCCAAAUUGGGUCAUCAUUGUUUACUCACACUUGUUGUACUUGUACGAUUGUCUUCAAAUACGAAAUACAAAGAAGUGUUCAGCUGCUUUUGUUCACAUUAUGAAAGUCAAUGAGAGCCAA
Long non-coding RNA from Sinocyclocheilus anshuiensis, 1015 nucleotides. RefSeq lists it as uncharacterized. NCBI's taxonomy places the organism in Eukaryota, Metazoa, Chordata, Actinopteri, Cypriniformes, Cyprinidae. The record is from RefSeq and is a predicted model, not a curated record. The transcript is spliced from 3 exons.